CGAGUCUGCCUUGAAGAUCGGAGUGCUUGCACUCUGUGAAACAAGAUACAGGCUAGCGGCGGACGGGAGAGUAACACGUGGGUAACCUGCCCAAGAGAUCGGGAUAACACCUGGAAACAGAUGCUAAUACCGGAUAACAACAGAUGAUGCCUAUCAACUGUUUAAAAGAUGGUUCUGCUAUCACUCUUGGAUGGACCUGCGGUGCAUUAGCUAGUUGGUAGGGUAACGGCCUACCAAGGCGAUGAUGCAUAGCCGAGUUGAGAGACUGAUCGGCCACAUUGGGACUGAGACACGGCCCAAACUCCUACGGGAGGCAGCAGUAGGGAAUCUUCCACAAUGGACGCAAGUCUGAUGGAGCAACGCCGCGUGAGUGAAGAAGGGUUUCGGCUCGUAAAGCUCUGUUGUUGGUGAA
This 412-nucleotide ribosomal RNA is filed under the name uncultured Lactobacillus sp. Its description in RNAcentral is "bacterial SSU rRNA". It matches the Rfam family "Bacterial small subunit ribosomal RNA", at positions 58 to 446 of the family's 1533-position model. Lineage: Bacteria; Bacillati; Bacillota; Bacilli; Lactobacillales; Lactobacillaceae. The record is from RNAcentral.